Molecule: RNase P RNA, 448 nt
Filed under: Defluviicoccus sp.
Lineage: Bacteria; Pseudomonadati; Pseudomonadota; Alphaproteobacteria; Rhodospirillales; Rhodospirillaceae
Description: Bacterial RNase P class A
Rfam family: Bacterial RNase P class A
About the family: Ribonuclease P (RNase P) is a ubiquitous endoribonuclease, found in archaea, bacteria and eukarya as well as chloroplasts and mitochondria. Its best characterised activity is the generation of mature 5'-ends of tRNAs by cleaving the 5'-leader elements of precursor-tRNAs.
Source: Rfam by way of RNAcentral
CCAGACGGCCGGAUGGUCGCCUUCGUACCGGCUUGAGCUUCGGUUCGGGCGGGGCGGGGAGGAAAGUCCGGGCUCCACGGAAACACGGUGCCGGGUAACGCCCGGCGGGGUGACCCCAGGGAAAGUGCCACAGAAAGCAAACCGCCGGCCGGGGCUGGGUCCGGGACAGAGUCCGCGGGACCGGCCUGCCGGUAAGGGCGAAAGGGUGCGGCAAGAGCGCACCGCGUCUCCGGUAACGGGGACGGCACGGUAAACCCCACCGGGAGCAAGACCAAAUAGGGACGGCAGGCUGGUGCACCACCUUGGGGUGGUUCGCCGGCGUGCGGGUUUCCGCGCCGCCGUCCGGGUCGGUCGCGCGAGGCGUCCGGUAACGGACGUCCCAGAUGAAUGACCAUCGCUCGUCCCACUGGGAUGGGUACAGAACCCGGCUUAUAGGCCGUCUGGCUCC